AUGCAGUCGACGGACCAUGAUGGCUUUUGUUGUUGUGGUUAGUGGCGAACGGGUGAGUAACACGUGAGUAACCUGCCCUCUUCUUUGGGAUAACUGCCUGAAGGGUGGCUAAUACUGAUUAUUCUGCUGAUUCCGCAUGGUUUUGGUUGGAAAGAUUUUUUGGUGGGGGAUGGGCUCGCGGCUUAUCAGCUUGUUGGUGGGGUAAUGGCUUACCAAGGCAUUGACGGGUAACCGGCCUGAGAGGGUGACCGGUCACAUUGGGACUGAGAUACGGCCCAGACUCCUACGGGAGGCAGCAGUGGGGAAUAUUGCACAAUGGACGCAAGUCUGAUGCAGCGACGCCGCGUGAGGGAUGAAGGCCUUCGGGUUGUAAACCUUUUUCGCUUUUUGACCAGGCAUCACUUUUUGUUG
RNAcentral lists this ribosomal RNA (411 nucleotides) under uncultured Actinomyces sp. Its description in RNAcentral is "bacterial SSU rRNA". It matches the Rfam family "Bacterial small subunit ribosomal RNA", at positions 55 to 466 of the family's 1533-position model. The record is from RNAcentral. Lineage: Bacteria; Bacillati; Actinomycetota; Actinomycetes; Actinomycetales; Actinomycetaceae.